This 25-nucleotide microRNA is filed under the name Ixodes scapularis (black-legged tick). RNAcentral's name for it is "Isc-Bantam-P9b_5p* (star (passenger))". RNAcentral also lists the same sequence under 1 other name. Lineage: Eukaryota; Metazoa; Arthropoda; Arachnida; Ixodida; Ixodidae. The record is from RNAcentral.
CUGGUUUUCACAAUGAUCGUCCAGA